NNNNNNNNNNNUGAUUUAACUCAGUGUGGCUGAAUUAUAAUCUACAUUUCAUGGAUUUCAAAGGCCUUUUUUUUUUUUUUUUUUUACAUUUUCGUAUCUCGGUACUCAGAAUGUUUCUUACAAUUGAUGUAUUAUGAGUAUGGCUGAUGUUUUGUUUCUUUCCUAGGAGUAUAUGAUAUAAUGAAAGUUACAACUUACGAAUGAGGACAUCUUAGAUUCAACAAAAUACUAUAAGUUCUUUAGUCUUUUCAAAUUUAACACCCCCCUCCCUGGGAAAAUCCACAGGCCUUAAUGAAUUACUGCAGUCAUCAGGAGAGGGAAGUAUUUAAUUUUCUAGCAUGGACUAGAUUCCAGAUGUUUCUAUAUUGCCAACACAUGAACCAUCUUUCCGGUGGGCUUCGUUUUUCUUCUCAAGACUCAAAAUGGCGGGCUGUAAAACACAUUACUUUGUAAGUGGAACUGCCUAUGAAAAACAUAGAGAUAUAAAAUUUUUCUAAUAAAACAAGUCAAUCUCUAAAACAUUUUAAUUAACUGCCAAAACUAUUACAGGACAGGAGCAAAACCAAUGCUGAUACAAUUCUUAAUCAAAUCGAGUACAAUCUUAUUACUCACAGACACAAUCCAAAGAGACUUGUUGGUGCUAAAAUCAACUUCAUGCCACAUAGUCCUUCCUGACUGACCCCAUGAAACUGCAAGUUCUCCUUUUGUGUGUGGGUUUUGUUUUUGUUUUUCUGAAGAUUUAUUUAAUUGUUUGAAAGAGAGCACAAGAGUUGGGGAGAGAGGCAUAAGGAAAGAGAAACUCCUCAUCAGAUGCCCCAUUGAGCACAGAGCCUGACUCAGGACUCGAUCUCACGACCCUGAGAUCCCAACCUGAGCUGAAAUCAAGAGUGGGCUGCUUAACCUACUGAGCAACCCCACAAGUCAUGUUGUGACUUUGCAACCAUGUCCUGUGCUCUGAGUGGCCACAGAGAUGCCAGAACCAAUGGGGAAAACUCAGGAGCUAAUUCAGGAAGACUUCAUUGUUCUUCAGAUGACUUUCAAGCAUGUCAAAUGUUAGUGUUUGCAUCAUUUUAGAAGUUUGCUUGGAUUAGUGUCGUCAGAUUGGAUCUGCAGCCUCCCAGUUGUGAAAACAGAAAGCAGGACUCCACAUAGGUCUAACACUCCCUGCAGGUUACAUCCCACACCCCUGCAGCUCCCCCACCUUCCAGUGCAGACUCAGGAGCUGCUCAUCCAGUAGGAAAGACACUGGUUGGAGAGAGCAAAAGCCCCUGCUUCUGCCGUUAGCUGGCUGGAGACCUUGAAUGAGACGCAGUAUUUCUAGGCUUCCGUUGAAAG
This 1335-nucleotide long non-coding RNA is filed under the name Mustela putorius furo (domestic ferret). RNAcentral describes it as "lncRNA (ENSMPUG00000025101.1)". Lineage: Eukaryota; Metazoa; Chordata; Mammalia; Carnivora; Mustelidae. The record is from RNAcentral.